GAUGAACGCUGGCGGCGUGCCUAAUACAUGCAAGUCGAGCGAACGGACGAGAAGCUUGCUUCUCUGAUGUUAGCGGCGGACGGGUGAGUAACACGUGGAUAACCUACCUAUAAGACUGGGAUAACUUCGGGAAACCGGAGCUAAUACCGGAUAAUAUUUUGCACCGCAUGGUUCAAAAGUGAAAGACGGUCUUGCUGUCACUUAUAGAUGGAUCUGCGCUGCAUUAGCUAGUUGGUAAGGUAACGGCUUACCAAGGCAACGAUGCAUAGCCGACCUGAGAGACUGAUCGGCCACCCUAGAACGGAGACACGGUCCAGACUCCUACGGGAGGCAGCAGUAGGGAAUCUGCCGCAGUGGGCGAGAGCCUGACGGAGCAGCGCCGCGUGAGUGAUGGAGGCGUUCGGAGCGUAAAACUCUGUUAUUAGGGAAGAACAUAUGUGGAAGUAACUGUGCACAGCUUGACGGUACCGAAUCAGAAAGCCACGGCUAACUACGUG
Molecule: ribosomal RNA, 497 nt
Filed under: uncultured bacterium
Lineage: Bacteria
Description: partial 16S ribosomal RNA
Rfam family: Bacterial small subunit ribosomal RNA
Source: RNAcentral